Molecule: microRNA precursor, 101 nt
Filed under: Rhinopithecus bieti (black snub-nosed monkey)
Lineage: Eukaryota; Metazoa; Chordata; Mammalia; Primates; Cercopithecidae
Description: miRNA (ENSRBIG00000017833.1)
Source: RNAcentral
UGAGGCAGGAGAAUUGCUUGAACCCAGGAAGCGGAGGCUGCAAUGAGCAGAGAUCACGCCACUGUACUCUAGCCUGGGUGACACAGCAAGACUCCAUCUCA